UAGGGAAUCUUCCGCAAUGGACGCAAGUCUGACGGAGCAACGCCGCGUGAGUGAAGAAGGAUUUCGGUUCGUAAAACUCUGUUGUUAGAGAAGAACAGCGCAUAGAGUAACUGUUAUGCGUGUGACGGUAUCUAACCAGAAAGCCACGGCUAACUACGUGCCAGCAGCCGCGGUAAUACGUAGGUGGCAAGCGUUGUCCGGAUUUAUUGGGCGUAAAGCGAGCGCAGGCGGUCAAUUAAGUCAGAUGUGAAAGCCCCCGGCUCAACCGGGGAGGGUCAUUUGAAACUGGUUGGCUUGAGUGCGGAAGAGGGGAGUGGAAUUCCACGUGUAGCGGUGAAAUGCGUAGAUAUAUGGAGGAACACCAGUGGCGAAGGCGACUCUCUGGUCUGUAACUGACGCUGAGGCUCGAAAGCGUGGGUAGCAAACAGG
RNAcentral lists this ribosomal RNA (429 nucleotides) under Bacteroidota bacterium. RNAcentral describes it as "Bacteroidetes bacterium partial 16S ribosomal RNA". It matches the Rfam family "Bacterial small subunit ribosomal RNA", at positions 355 to 776 of the family's 1533-position model. The record is from RNAcentral. Lineage: Bacteria; Pseudomonadati; Bacteroidota.